Molecule: ribosomal RNA, 629 nt
Filed under: Mucor ellipsoideus
Lineage: Eukaryota; Fungi; Mucoromycota; Mucoromycetes; Mucorales; Mucoraceae
Description: eukaryotic LSU rRNA
Rfam family: Eukaryotic large subunit ribosomal RNA
Source: RNAcentral
GAGUGAAGAGGAAAGAGCUCAAAGUUGGAACCUGUUUGGCUUAGCUAAACCGGAUUGUAAACUGUAGAAACGUUUUCCUGGCACGCCAGAUAAAUAAGUCCUUUGGAACAGGGCAUCAUAGAGGGUGAGAAUCCCGUCUUUGGUCUGAGCUGUUGUCUUUUGUGAUACGUUUUCAAAGAGUCAGGUUGUUUGGGAAUGCAGCCUAAAUUGGGUGGUAAAUCUCACCUAAAGCUAAAUAUUUGCGAGAGACCGAUAGCGAACAAGUACCGUGAGGGAAAGAUGAAAAGAACUUUGAAAAGAGAGUUAAACAGUAUGUGAAAUUGUUAAAAGGGAACCGUUUGGAGCCAGACUGGCUUGAUCGUAAUCAAUCUAGGUUUCGACCUGGAUGCACUUGCGGUCUAUGCCUGCCAACGACAGUUCUUUCUGAAGGAUAAAACUAGGAGGAAUGUGGCCCCUCGGGGUGUUAUAGCCUCUUAGAUAAUACUUUGGAUGGGACUGAGGAACGCAGUGAAUGCUUAUGGCGAAAUUGCUAGGCGCUUUUGUUGAUAGAUGUUAGAAUUUCUACUUCGGGUAGUGCUGAUGUCUAAAGGUAAAACUCGUUUGGUUAAUUUUCUAUUCACUUAGGUUGU